Molecule: transfer RNA, 70 nt
Filed under: Anaerobacillus sp. HL2
Lineage: Bacteria; Bacillati; Bacillota; Bacilli; Caryophanales; Bacillaceae
Description: tRNA-Val
Rfam family: tRNA
About the family: Transfer RNA (tRNA) molecules are approximately 80 nucleotides in length.
Source: RNAcentral
GACUCGUUAGCUCAGUGGGAGAGCACUUGCUUGACAGGCAAGGGGUCGCUAAGUCCAAUACGGGUCACCA